Molecule: long non-coding RNA, 896 nt
Organism: Erinaceus europaeus (western European hedgehog)
Lineage: Eukaryota; Metazoa; Chordata; Mammalia; Eulipotyphla; Erinaceidae
Exons: 3
Source: RefSeq, a predicted model, not a curated record
AGGCCUCAGGGGAUCCUAUAGGGAAAGGCUGAGUUUGAUCUAAAGAGAAACACGUGACCCAAAACAUCCUUACCAUGGGAAAUUGGGAGGGAGGAGGGAUGGGGUCCUCUCCCUUUUCUCACAGGUGCUUAGAAGGAGACUCUGAAGAGAGCUCUCUCAGCCACUAACAAGUCACAAUGCAGAAGGUCCAUCUCUCCAGGCAAAUAAAGAUCCAGACUGGUUUUUGGUGACCACGGAACCAAAAAGAAGUUUAUGAAGAGUACAGAAACUAAGCAAUCAUGAGAAAAAACAGAUAAAGAGAGACAGAGCGAGGGGAAGACAACACAGCACCAAAGCUUCCUCCAUUGCCAUUGGUGUCUCUCAUGUAGUGCCAGGACUUGAACCUGUGUUGCAUGCGUGACAGUGCAGCCAACCUGCCUGGUGAGCUAUCUUUUUAGCCUCAGUGAAGCACUCGUUAUGACAGAUUGACAUAUCUACAUUGACAUAUUGUUGUCACUAAGGUCCACUGUUGACCGGAGACUUCAUUCUUGGUGUUGGGCAGUCUGUGGCUUUGAACAAAUGUGUAAGGAUGAGUGGCUACCAUGACAGAUCAAGCAGAGUAACCUCACUGCCCUGGAGUCCCUUGGGCUCUACCUACUCAUCUGCCCUCAACCCCACAUUGGCAACCACUGGACCUUUUUUUUUUUUAAUCUUUAUUUAUUUGAUAGAGACAGCCAGAAAUUGAGAAGAAGGGGGAGACAGCGAAGGAGAUAAUCUCUGUCUGUUCAUCUCUCUCUGCCCAUGUGCCUCUAUCUGAAUGAAACAGUGUCCCAAGAACAGUGAAGUCAACCUUGUGUGAGGCCCUGGCUCUUCCACUCUCAAUUUUGUAAAAACUAAAUAAACAAAUAAAUGACUUA